GACGAACGCUGGCGGCGUGCCUAAUACAUGCAAGUUGAGCGCUGAAGGUUGGUACUUGUACCAACUGGAUGAGCAGCGAACGGGUGAGUAACGCGUGGGGAAUCUGCCUUUGAGCGGGGGACAACAUUUGGAAACGAAUGCUAAUACCGCAUAAAAACUUUAAACACAAGUUUUAAGUUUGAAAGAUGCAAUUGCCUCACUCAAAGAUGAUCCCGCGUUGUAUUAGCUAGUUGGUGAGGUAAAGGCUCACCAAGGCGAUGAUACAUAGCCGACCUGAGAGGGUGAUCGGCCAAAUUGGGACUGGGAAACGGCCCAAACUCCUACGGGAGGCAGCAGUAGGGAAUCUUUGGCAAUGGACGAAAGUCUGACCGAGCGACGCCGCGGGAGUGAAGAAGGUUUUCGGAUCGUAAAACUCUGUUGGUAGAGAAGAAAGUUGGUGAGAGUGGAAAGCUCAUCAAGUGACGGUAACUACCCAGAAAGGGACGGCUAACUACGUG
RNAcentral lists this ribosomal RNA (497 nucleotides) under uncultured bacterium. RNAcentral's name for it is "partial 16S ribosomal RNA". It matches the Rfam family "Bacterial small subunit ribosomal RNA", at positions 28 to 507 of the family's 1533-position model. The record is from RNAcentral.